UAAUUGUGCGCAGUAGAUAAUUGUGUGCCAAUUUCCGUGAUCGAAAGAAUGUUGUUUAUUGCAACAUGUUGUGGAAAGAAACAUCAUAUCCCAGUGUAGCACUGAAGAUUAAAAUAAUCAACUUGAAAGAAAAAUACAUCUUUUGUUAUAAUUGGUAAUCAUGAAAAUGAGACGAUAAAUAAUAACGUUCCUUACUUCCUGUGACAAAGUUUUCGCGUAACAACCCAAGUUUAUAUCAUUUUUAAUGUGCGUUAACAAGACUCACAAUACACGAUCUCGAGCUUGUGCAGAUAUGCCUCGUUAUUAUAAAAGAACAUCAGAUAAGAAUAAUAGGACUGAGGAGAUCUUAAAAUCAACGAUUAUGUUGUGAAAAUCAAUAGGAUGAAAAUUAGAGCUGCUGAGCAAAAAUUCAAUAUUUCGGAAUCAAUUCUUAGAAAGAGAUUGAAAGAAAGAAAUUCGACAUGUCAUGUGCCGAAUGACAAAUGAAUGAAUGAUAUGUCAUUGGGUCGAAAGCCAAUAUUUAUAGUUGAUGAAGAGAAAGAAUUGACAAAUCUUAUUUUGAACUUAGCAUAACUAUUUUAUGGAUUUACUUCACAUCAGCUUCGUAGAAUGCUUUCGACUUUGCUGAGGCAAAACAUGUUAAUCAUACGUUUAACAAAACGAUUCAACCGGCUGACAAAGAUUGGUUAUAUGUGUUUCUUCAGCAUAACUCGGAAAUAACCGUAAGAUAACAAAAGGAAUGAGUCUUAAUAGAAUUAAUAUACUUAAUAAAGAAGAAAUUACUCAAUUUUUUCCAAUUUACAAGACGUUGGAAAAGUAUAGAUUUCCUCCAAAUAGAAUCCUUAACAUGGAUAAAACGAGCAUUACAAUGGUUGGCAAAAAAAUGUCUAAAAAUAUAUGGCGCAAAAGGGACAGAGAGAAUUGGAACAGCAACAAUAGGUGAAAGGAGACCAUUACAGCAGUGUUUUACGUGAAUACAUCUGGAACGUACAUAUCUCCAAUGUUUUUUUGAGUACGAGAAUGAGUAUGUAGCUACAAAAGAAUGGGCCUAUUUGAGUGAUUUAUGCGUGUUCUAAAAAUGAUGACAAAUAAGGGAUUGUACUUGGACUGGUUACAUCAUUUUAAGAGCUGUGUAAACUUUACUUACAGGGCGAAGACUCUGUACUUCUGAUAAUUGAUAAUCAUACAAGUUAUAUUUCACUUGAGGUUUUUGAUUUAUGUAAAUCUGGUUUUAUUACUGUAUUUUCUCUCGCCCUUCACACAUCGAAUUCAAUCUUUAGACUUGACAUUUUUUGACCUGUUGAAGAACUCUUUAUAUAGAAAAUAUGAUUUAUACUUGAAAUCGACUAGUCAUAAAAAAAUGACCGAGUAUGAUCUUGCAGAGGUGUUAAAUAAGGCCUUUUUAAAAGUAGCUUCUAUGGAGAAAAGUAUGUCUGGCUUUCGUACAGCAGAUUUUUACCCUCUAAUUUCUGAUAGAUUUGACGAAAAUGAUUUUGCUCCAUCAGUUGCUGAAGAAGAACUUAACUUCUUACUGAAGUUAUUUUCGAUUAAUCAAAAUUCAAUUUCCAUUGAAACUAUCAGUAAUAUAGAUAAUUUGACUGAUUCUUACAACAAUGAGUGAGAGGCAAAUCCAAUAUCAAAAUCUAGUACUUCAAAAACUUCUGAUCAAGUCAAAAUUAUUGAUAUUUCACUAAUUUCUUUGAGAAAACCUCAUGUGGCAACGUGAUUCUCAUUCAGAAAUUUUAACUGCCUCAAAAACAAAAAUUACAAGAUAAAUUGGAAAAAUAGAAAAAGC
Molecule: long non-coding RNA, 1795 nt
Organism: Atta colombica
Lineage: Eukaryota; Metazoa; Arthropoda; Insecta; Hymenoptera; Formicidae
Exons: 3
Source: RefSeq, a predicted model, not a curated record